This 435-nucleotide ribosomal RNA is filed under the name uncultured bacterium. RNAcentral describes it as "partial 16S ribosomal RNA". It matches the Rfam family "Bacterial small subunit ribosomal RNA", at positions 29 to 507 of the family's 1533-position model. The record is from RNAcentral.
AGCGAACGCUGGCGGCAGGCUUAACACAUGCAAGUCGAGCGGGCAUAGCAAUAUGUCAGCGGCAGACGGGUGAGUAACGCGUGGGAACGUACCUUUUGGUUCGGAACAACACAGGGAAACUUGUGCUAAUACCGGAUAAGCCCUUACGGGGAAAGAUUUAUCGCCGAAAGAUCGGCCCGCGUCUGAUUAGCUAGUUGGUGAGGUAAUGGCUCACCAAGGCGACGAUCAGUAGCUGGUCUGAGAGGAUGAUCAGCCACAUUGGGACUGAGACACGGCACAAACUCCUACGGGAGGCAGCAAUGGGGAAUAUUGGACAGUGGGCGCAAGCCUGAUCCAGCCAUGCCGCGUAAGUGAUGAAGGCCCUAGGGUUGUAAAGCUCUUUUGUGCGGGAAGAUAAUGACGGUACCGCAAGAAUAAGCCCCGGCUAACUUCGUG